Molecule: long non-coding RNA, 99 nt
Organism: Neltuma alba
Lineage: Eukaryota; Viridiplantae; Streptophyta; Magnoliopsida; Fabales; Fabaceae
Exons: 3
Source: RefSeq, a predicted model, not a curated record
UAACAAUGUCUCUAUUGAGACAUUCUUAGAAAAAAGAACAGCCGAUUUAUUAGCAUUUAUCUUCUGCCCAGAGAGGGCGCAAAAAUGGUUCAAACAGUU